CUCUACAGCGCGAAUCCUCCCCCUUCAAGGUUGUUUGACGCCGCCUCAGCUCCCACCCUGCCCAGGCCCCUCCCUGCAGGCUGCCUCCUGCCCCACUGUGCGGAGUUUCCGCCAGCUGAGCACUACCCCCACCCAACCCCGCACCUGGAGUCCCUGAAGACAGAGAAUGGGGUCGCUGUAUAAGCCGGGUGUGUAUCCCGAUGACGGCAGGAUGGAAGACAGCAGCUUCACUAACUGAGCAAGAAUGAUCCGGUCUGGGCUCUUGAUUCACUGGGAUCCCUCCCUCCGCGUGUUCCUGAGCCUGACAGGCCCGGGGCAAUGGGGAGUGGGAAGCCCUGUAGGACAAGGUUAACUAGGGCUCCGCCCCCCCCCCCCAGACCCCUGCACUGCCCGGCCUGCAGCCUCGAGUUCCCAGGCCCCCACAGCGCCCAUUCCUAACAGGCUGUGCCAGCUGCUUGCCGGGCACCAGCGAAAAAAGGACUUUCUUUGCCUCGGUGAAACUUGGGUUAUGACACACGCCCACCGACAGGUCCUUGAAACAGGCAGAGUGACCUUCUUCCAGGAGCUCAACUCUCUCGAUGUUGACACUUUGCUAAGGGCAACGGGCAAUCAUAGCCCGACCCCCAGGACCCUUAAGUCUACUUUAACAUACAAAAAUUCUUUUGCAAACUUCCUUCAUCUCUGCCCCCCAAGAUACAUAUUGGCAAUCACCCCCACGCAUGGGACCCACCGAUAUACAUCUGAGGGGUCUCAUGACCGAGUUUUUAUGAAACAGUAAUACAUGACCUUCUCCUGACAAUAGCUGCCCCCUCCGGGUCCUGGAAACCCUGCUUGCAGAAUACCUGGGAGGCUUGUGCUGUCCCUAACCCCCUCCCAACUUGAGAGUAUAUAAUGGGCCACUCCUCCUGACCCCCGUGCUUCUGCUUCUCUUUCUGCCCACGGGUCCUGCCCCCGUGCUUUAAUAAAACCACCUUUUUGCACCA
Molecule: long non-coding RNA, 983 nt
Filed under: Ursus maritimus (polar bear)
Lineage: Eukaryota; Metazoa; Chordata; Mammalia; Carnivora; Ursidae
Description: lncRNA (ENSUMAG00000024961.1)
Source: RNAcentral